RNAcentral lists this long non-coding RNA (717 nucleotides) under Setaria viridis. Its description in RNAcentral is "long non-coding RNA (SVIR_LNC004074)". The record is from RNAcentral. Lineage: Eukaryota; Viridiplantae; Streptophyta; Magnoliopsida; Poales; Poaceae.
GCAGAGAUACUUUCACUUGGAAGAGAGAAUUUUGCGAUAAUUUACAUUGCCCAAUAUUUCAAGAGAAAGGGGGAGGGUGUUUGCGCUUUGAUCUAGCUACUUAACAAGUGUGGGGGAGGGUGUAAGCUGGACUCAAUCCUUAGGUCCCAGAUUAUGGUUGAACAAGUAUCCUUUAUCGGGCUAUAUGGUUGAAUUGAAAUGUCGUUGUUUUUUUAAAGACAUAAUGACGUUAUUAUUUUACAAGGCAAGAAUAAUACAUCCGUUUCUAUGCAGAGUUAUGAGAAAUACAAUGGUUUGGGUAUUGCAGGAGGAGGAGGCCGAGCACAAUUGCAAUAGGCAUUCCUGAACAAUCAGUGGCAGAACUUAGCAACAAAUGUGGGGGAGGGGGUAAGCUAGAGGUAGUUUGCGCUUUGAUCUAAUUAACCGGUGAAAUUAAGGUUCUCCUUAAAAAUAUUUGAGAGGGGGUAGUUUGCAAAUAUUUGUGCUAGAGGUAGUUUGCGCUUUGGCAACAAAUGUGGCAGAUCUUGAUCUAAUUGCCCCUUUAAUCUCCGGAAAGCUCCACCACUACAAGUUCCAAGGACCGGAGAAUGGGAACUAAUUUGCACCAUAAGAAUCUCAUUAGGUUGUUAUGGUACUACUACCAAGACGAAGGAAAGUUUCAUGCCUACGAGUAUACACAUAACAGCAUUGACAAAUUUUGGUACAAUGGUAAGCUUG